RNAcentral lists this ribosomal RNA (3446 nucleotides) under Haemophilus massiliensis. Its description in RNAcentral is "bacterial LSU rRNA". It matches the Rfam family "Bacterial large subunit ribosomal RNA". Lineage: Bacteria; Pseudomonadati; Pseudomonadota; Gammaproteobacteria; Pasteurellales; Pasteurellaceae. The record is from RNAcentral.
UUAAGUGACUAAGCGUACACGGUGGAUGCCUAGGCAAUCAGAGGCGAAGAAGGACGUGCAAAUCUGCGAAAAGCUUGGAUGAGCUGAUAAGGAGCGUGUAAUCCAAGAUAUCCGAAUGGGGCAACCCAGUGGGUGAAGAACCUACUAUCUUAUACUAAAUUCAUAGGUAUAAGAGGCGAACCGGGAGAACUGAAACAUCUAAGUACCCCGAGGAAAAGAAAUCAACCGAGAUUCUGUGAGUAGCGGCGAGCGAAAGCGGAGUAGCCAGUAAGUGAUAGCGAUAGAUUUAGGAGAAAGAGCUGGGAAGCUUUGCGAGACAGGGUGAUAGCCCCGUAUCUAAAAAAUCUGUGGUGGUACUAAGCUUACGAGAAGUAGGGCGGGACACGAGAAAUCCUGUUUGAAGAAGGGGGGCCCAUCCUCCAAGGCUAAAUACUCCUGAUUGACCGAUAGUGAACCAGUACUGUGAAGGAAAGGCGAAAAGAACCCCGGUGAGGGGAGUGAAAGAGAACCUGAAACCGUGUACGUACAAGCAGUGGGAGCCCCAUCACUCAAUCGUAUUGAUUGAAGUGAUAAACUCAAUACUUCUUACAAGCGGUUAAUUUUUUGCAAAACUUUGCAAAAAAUUCAACCCCAAAAGAAGCAGUGGGAUUGAGUGAUGGGGUGACUGCGUACCUUUUGUAUAAUGGGUCAGCGACUUAUAUUUUGUAGCGAGGUUAACUGAAUAAGGGAGCCGAAGGGAAACCGAGUCUUAACUGGGCGAGAAGUUGCAAGGUAUAGACCCGAAACCCGGUGAUCUAGCCAUGUGCAGGUUGAAGGUUGGGUAACACUAACUGGAGGACCGAACCGACUAAUGUUGAAAAAUUAGCGGAUGACGUGUGGCUGGGGGUGAAAGGCCAAUCAAACCGGGAGAUAGCUGGUUCUCCCCGAAAUCUAUUUAGGUAGAGCCUUAUGUGAAUACCUUCGGGGGUAGAGCACUGUUUCGGCUAGGGGUCCAUCCCGGAUUACCAACCCGAUGCAAACUGCGAAUACCGAAGAGUAAUGCAUAGGAGACACACGGCGGGUGCUAACGUCCGUCGUGGAGAGGGAAACAACCCAGACCGCCAGCUAAGGUCCCGAAGUCUAUAUUAAGUGGGAAACGAAGUGGGAAGGCUUAGACAGCUAGGAUGUUGGCUUAGAAGCAGCCACCAUUUAAAGAAAGCGUAAUAGCUCACUAGUCGAGUCGGCCUGCGCGGAAGAUGUAACGGGGCUGAAAUAUAGCACCGAAGCUGCGGCAUUCAGAGGACAGAUUACAGAAGACAGAGGACAGAAUAAAUGGUUAUCGGAAAAAGCAUUACGGAUUAUCGGGAUUUAUUGGUAUGGCAGAAAGCGUAUCAAUUAUCACUGAAAAUUCAUAAACAUACUUUAAAUUAUCCAAAAUAUGAACAGUUUGAAUUAGCAAGCCAAAUGCGUAGAGCAAGUAAAGGAAUCUGUGCAAAUCUUGCAGAAGGCUUUGGGAAACAAAGUGUGAGCAAAGCGGAAUUUAAACGUUUUAUAUUAAUGGCAAUGGGAAGUGCAGACGAAAUGCGAGUAUGGCUAAGUUACAGUAAAGACUUAGGAUAUUUAAAUGAAGUUGCCUACGAAAAGUUAGAAAUAGCUUAUCGAGACAUUGCAAAAAUGCUAAAUGGCUUACAUAAAAGUUGGUCAUAGGUAUUUAUUCUGUCAUCAGUCUUCUGUCAUCUGUCCUCUGAUUGGGUAGGGGAGCGUUGUGUAAGCGGAUGAAGGUGAAUUGAGAAGUUUGCUGGACGUAUCACAAGUGCGAAUGCUGACAUAAGUAACGAUAAAACGGGUGAAAAACCCGUUCGCCGGAAGACCAAGGUUUCCUGUCCAACGUUAAUCGGGGCAGGGUGAGUCGGCCCCUAAGGCGAGGCUGAAAAGCGUAGUCGAUGGGAAACGGGUUAAUAUUCCCGUACUUGGUAAAACUGCGAUGUGGGGACGGAGCAGGUUAGGUUAGCGUGCUGUUGGAUAUGCACGUUUAAGUUGGUAGGUGGGUGAGUUAGGCAAAUCCGGUUCACCUUAACACCGAGAGAUGAUGACGAGGCUCUACGGAGCUGAAGUAACUGAUACCACACUUCCAGGAAAAGCCACUAAGCAUCAGGUUUUACUAAACCGUACUAUAAACCGACACAGGUGGUCAGGUAGAGAAUACUCAGGCGCUUGAGAGAACUCGGGUGAAGGAACUAGGCAAAAUAGCACCGUAACUUCGGGAGAAGGUGCGCUUACGGUAGUUAAAGUCCGAAACGGAUGGAGGUGAAGUAAGUCGAAGAGACCAGCUGGCUGCAACUGUUUAUUAAAAACACAGCACUCUGCAAACACGAAAGUGGAGGUAUAGGGUGUGAUGCCUGCCCGGUGCUGGAAGGUUAAUUGAUGGUGUAAUCGGAAGAGAAGCAUCGGAUCGAAGCCCCAGUAAACGGCGGCCGUAACUAUAACGGUCCUAAGGUAGCGAAAUUCCUUGUCGGGUAAGUUCCGACCUGCACGAAUGGCAUAAUGAUGGCCAGGCUGUCUCCACCCGAGACUCAGUGAAAUUGAAAUCGCCGUGAAGAUGCGGUGUACCCGCGGCUAGACGGAAAGACCCCGUGAACCUUUACUAUAGCUUGACACUGAACCUUGAAUUUUGAUGUGUAGGAUAGGUGGGAGGCGAAGAAGCGGUAACGCCAGUUAUCGUGGAGCCGUUGUUGAAAUACCACCCUUUAAGGUUUGAUGUUCUAACGAAGAUUACGAAACGUGGUCUCGGACAGUGUCUGGUGGGUAGUUUGACUGGGGCGGUCUCCUCCCAAAGAGUAACGGAGGAGCACGAAGGUUUGCUAAUGACGGUCGGACAUCGUCAGGUUAGUGCAAUGGUAAAAGCAAGCUUAACUGCGAGACGGACAAGUCGAGCAGGUGCGAAAGCAGGUCAUAGUGAUCCGGUGGUUCUGAAUGGAAGGGCCAUCGCUCAACGGAUAAAAGGUACUCCGGGGAUAACAGGCUGAUACCGCCCAAGAGUUCAUAUCGACGGCGGUGUUUGGCACCUCGAUGUCGGCUCAUCACAUCCUGGGGCUGAAGUAGGUCCCAAGGGUAUGGCUGUUCGCCAUUUAAAGUGGUACGCGAGCUGGGUUUAGAACGUCGUGAGACAGUUCGGUCCCUAUCUGCCGUGGGCGCUGGAGAAUUGAAAGGGGCUGCUCCUAGUACGAGAGGACCGGAGUGGACGCAUCCCUGGUGUUCCGGUUGUGUCGCCAGACGCAUUGCCGGGUAGCUAAAUGCGGGAGAGAUAAGUGCUGAAAGCAUCUAAGCACGAAACUUGCCUUGAGAUGAGUUCUCCCCAACUAUAAGUUGGUAAGGGUUGUUUAAGACUAAGACGUAGAUAGGUGUGGUGUGUAAGCGUAGUGAUACGUUGAGCUAACACAUACUAAUAGCCCGAGAGGCUUAACCAU